This 505-nucleotide long non-coding RNA is filed under the name Anser brachyrhynchus (Pink-footed goose). RNAcentral's name for it is "lncRNA (ENSABRG00000006175.1)". Lineage: Eukaryota; Metazoa; Chordata; Aves; Anseriformes; Anatidae. The record is from RNAcentral.
UUGCUUUGCAGUCCUGGCUGAGUAAGCCAGAGCUGAAGAGUCCUGUGAUGAGAAGCAGAAACUUCUAACAUGAUGAUGGUUCAAAUUUGUUUUGGAAAUCUUAUGGUUUUCUAUGUUACCAGCUAAGGUAUGGAAAGUCUCAAAACCCAGAGCCAACAGCUUCCUGCAGCUGGAAAAAGCAGUUACAUUUCUGCAGUUAUGUUUACAAGAAAACAAUUGAAGCAGGCUUCAAAAGGCUCAUGAGGUUCUUCUGCACAGACCAGAUGUACUUUUCUGUUUACAGAGAUGCAAGUAGUCCAAAAGUCAUCCAUUCUACCUUCAUAGAAAAAGUGCCCAUGGAGUCCUCCAAGCACUGCAACUGAAGCAGCCAGCAGCAGCAAAACAAUAACGUCUUCCUGGUCAGCAACAUGAACUACGAGGAGGAUCUUGUUCACUGCUCCUGCAUAAAUGGAAAGCAGAAGGAUCUGGAUGUGAAACACUCAUUCUGUAGCAAAAAGGAAGAGCA